UGUGGGAUGCCGGCCGGCAGAGGCGGAGGGGAGAGGGCGCGGGAAUCCUGUGUGGCUCGGACGCAGUGUCCCUGAGCUGGGUUCAGUCAUCCCCUGCAGCCGGGAGGUGUUUCCUAACAGUCCUGGUUCACCACUGGGGACUGAGGAUUCAAACUCGGACUCCAGCCUCGGUCCUCUUUCCCCACCAACGAUGGCUCCUGUCUCCCGACAUUGGUGGGGUUGGACUUCAUCUCUUUUUUGCUUUGAGGAUCUACUGUGUGUAAGCUCUCGCUGGCCUGCAAAGGAGUCUUUGCAGAGGGCCAUGUGCUAGAGAAUGGUGGAAUGAGAGCUUGGAGAUGCCUGAGGUGCAGUCCCUAUCAGCCUGAUAGGUUGGGGGUCCAGGUGAGAGAUCAGGCUUGAAAACUUCAUGGAGGACUCAUCUUUUCUGCCUGAAUGGGAAGCAGUUCCUGACUGACUUAUUACUGUAUUAAAGUGUUGUAAUUAACUGUG
Molecule: non-coding RNA, 489 nt
Organism: Cricetulus griseus (Chinese hamster)
Lineage: Eukaryota; Metazoa; Chordata; Mammalia; Rodentia; Cricetidae
Source: RefSeq, a predicted model, not a curated record